This 497-nucleotide ribosomal RNA is filed under the name uncultured bacterium. RNAcentral's name for it is "partial 16S ribosomal RNA". It matches the Rfam family "Bacterial small subunit ribosomal RNA", at positions 28 to 507 of the family's 1533-position model. The record is from RNAcentral.
GAUGAACGCUGGCGGCGUGCCUAAUACAUGCAAGUCGAGCGAACAGACGAGGAGCUUGCUCCUCUGACGUUAGCGGCGGACGGGUGAGUAACACGUGGAUAACCUACCUAUAAGACUGGGAUAACUUCGGGAAACCGGAGCUAAUACCGGAUAAUAUAUUGAACCGCAUGGUUCAAUAGUGAAAGACGGUUUUGCUGUCACUUAUAGAUGGAUCCGCGCCGCAUUAGCUAGUUGGUAAGGUAACGGCUUACCAAGGCAACGAUGCGUAGCCGACCUGAGAGGGUGAGAGGCAACACGGGAACUGAGACACGGUCCAGACUCCUACGGGAGGCAGCAGUAGGGAAUCUUACGCAAUGGGCGAAAGCCUGACGGAGCAACGCAGCGUGAGUGAUGAAGGUCUUCGGAUCGUAAAACUCUGUUAUGAGGGAAGAACAAAUGUGUAAGUAACUAUGCACGUCUUGACGGUACCUAAUCAGAAAGCCACGGCUAACUACGUG